Molecule: ribosomal RNA, 501 nt
Filed under: uncultured bacterium
Lineage: Bacteria
Description: bacterial SSU rRNA
Rfam family: Bacterial small subunit ribosomal RNA
Source: RNAcentral
GAUGAACGCUAGCUACAGGCUUAACACAUGCAAGUCGAGGGGCAGCACAGAGAUAGCUUGCUAUCUUGGGUGGCGACCGGCGCACGGGUGAGUAACGCGUAUCCAACCUGCCCAUUACUCUGGGAUAGCCUUGCGAAAGUAAGAUUAAUACCGGAUGUUGUUAAAAACCCGCAUGAGUUUUUAACCAAAGAUUUAUUGGUAAUGGAUGGGGAUGCGUGACAUUAGGUAGUAGGUGAGGUAACGGCUCACCUAGCCAUCGAUGGAUAGGGGUUCUGAGAGGAAGGUCCCCCACAUUGGAACUGAGACACGGUCCAAACUCCUACGGGAGGCAGCAGUGAGGAAUAUUGGUCAAUGGCCGGAAGGCUGAACCAGCCAAGUAGCGUGAAGGAUGACUGCCCUAUGGGUUGUAAAACUUCUUUUAUAUGGGAAUAAAAGACAUUACGUGUAGUGUUUUGUAUGUACCUUAUGAAUAAGCAUCGGCUAAUUCCGUGCCAGCAGCCG